UUGUCUCUCUUGAGUGGAUCCUGAGUACGACGGAGCACGUGAAAUUCCGUCGGAAUCUGGGAGGACCAUCUCCUAAGGCUAAAUACUCUCUAGUGACCGAUAGUGAACCAGUACCGUGAGGGAAAGGUGAAAAGCACCCCGGAAGGGGAGUGAAAUAGAACCUGAAACCGUGUGCUUACAAGUAGUCAGAGCCCGUUAAUGGGUGAUGGCGUGCCUUUUGUAGAAUGAACCGGCGAGUUACGAUUUGAUGCAAGGUUAAGCAGUAAAUGUGGAGCCGUAGCGAAAGCGAGUCUGAAUAGGGCGUUUAGUAUUUGGUCGUAGACCCGAAACCAGGUGAUCUACCCUUGGUCAGGUUGAAGUUCAGGUAACACUGAAUGGAGGACCGAACCGACUUACGUUGAAAAGUGAGCGGAUGAACUGAGGGUAGCGGAGAAAUUCCAAUCGAACCUGGAGAUAGCUGGUUCUCUCCGAAAUAGCUUUAGGGCUAGCCUCAAGUGAUGAUUAUUGGAGGUAGAGCACUGUUUGGACGAGGGGCCCCUCUCGGGUUACCGAAUUCAGACAAACUCCGAAUGCCAAUUAAUUUAACUUGGGAGUCAGAACAUGGGUGAUAAGGUCCGUGUUCGAAAGGGAAACAGCCCAGACCACCAGCUAAGGUCCCAAAAUAUAUGUUAAGUGGAAAAGGAUGUGGCGUUGCCCAGACAACUAGGAUGUUGGCUUAGAAGCAGCCAUCAUUUAAAGAGUGCGUAAUAGCUCACUAGUCGAGUGACACUGCGCCGAAAAUGUACCGGGGCUAAACAUAUUACCGAAGCUGUGGAUUGUCCUUUGGACAAUGAUAGGAGAGCGUUCUAAGGGCGUUGAAGCAUGAUCGUAAGGACAUGUGGAGCGCUUAGAAGUGAGAAUGCCGGUGUGAGUAGCGAAAGACGGGUGAGAAUCCCGUCCACCGAUUGACUAAGGUUUCCAGAGGAAGGCUCGUCCGCUCUGGGUUAGUCGGGUCCUAAGCUGAGGCCGACAGGCGUAGGCGAUGGAUAACAGGUUGAUAUUCCUGUACCACCUAUAAUCGUUUUAAUCGAUGGGGGGACGCAGUAGGAUAGGCGAAGCGUGCGAUUGGAUUGCACGUCUAAGCAGUAAGGCUGAGUAUUAGGCAAAUCCGGUACUCGUUAAGGCUGAGCUGUGAUGGGGAGAAGACAUUGUGUCUUCGAGUCGUUGAUUUCACACUGCCGAGAAAAGCCUCUAGAUAGAAAAUAGGUGCCCGUACCGCAAACCGACACAGGUAGUCAAGAUGAGAAUUCU
Molecule: ribosomal RNA, 1290 nt
Filed under: Staphylococcus aureus
Lineage: Bacteria; Bacillati; Bacillota; Bacilli; Caryophanales; Staphylococcaceae
Description: partial 23S ribosomal RNA
Rfam family: Bacterial large subunit ribosomal RNA
Source: RNAcentral